UAGGGAAUAUUGGACAAUGGGUGAGAGCCUGAUCCAGCCAUGCCGCGUGCAGGAAGAAGGCGUUAUGCGUUGUAAACUGCUUUUUGCCAGGGGAUAAAAAGACCGUGCGCGGUUAAUUGAAGGUACCUGGUGAAUAAGCCACGGCUAACUACGUGCCAGCAGCCGCGGUAAUACGUAGGUGGCAAGCGUUGUCCGGAUUUAUUGGGUUUAAAGGGUGCGUAGGUGGCCCUGUAAGUCAGUGGUGAAAUAUCUCAGCUUAACUGAGAGGGUGCCAUUGAUACUGCAGGGCUUGAGUACAGAUGAGGUAGGCGGAAUUGACGGUGUAGCGGUGAAAUGCAUAGAUAUCAAGAGGAACACCUGAGGUGAAGACGGGUUGCUGGGCUGACACUGACGCUGAGGCGCGAAAGCAAGGGGAGCAAACAGGAUUAGAUACCCCAGUAGUCCCUGAGCGGGCUGGCAAGGCGCAU
This 467-nucleotide ribosomal RNA is filed under the name uncultured bacterium. Its description in RNAcentral is "bacterial SSU rRNA". It matches the Rfam family "Bacterial small subunit ribosomal RNA", at positions 355 to 825 of the family's 1533-position model. The record is from RNAcentral.